UGGGGAAUAUUGCACAAUGGGGGAAACCCUGAUGCAGCCAUGCCGCGUGUGUGAAGAAGGCCUUCGGGUUGUAAAGCACUUUCAGCGAGGAGGAAAGGUUGAUGCCUAAUACGUAUCAACUGUGACGUUACUCGCAGAAGAAGCACCGGCUAACUCCGGGCCAGAAGCCGCGGUAAUACGGAGGGUGCAAGCGUUAAUCGGAAUUACUGGGCGUAAAGCGCACGCAGGCGGUUGGAUAAGUUAGAUGUGAAAGCCCCGGGCUCAACCUGGGAAUUGCAUUUAAAACUGUCCAGCUAGAGUCUUGUAGAGGGGGGUAGAAUUCCAGGUGUAGCGGUGAAAUGCGUAGAGAUCUGGAGGAAUACCGGUGGCGAAGGCGGCCCCCUGGACAAAGACUGACGCUCAGGUGCGAAAGCGUGGGGAGCAAACA
Molecule: ribosomal RNA, 427 nt
Filed under: uncultured bacterium
Lineage: Bacteria
Description: partial 16S ribosomal RNA
Rfam family: Bacterial small subunit ribosomal RNA
Source: RNAcentral